AGCGACUUCGAUGUAAACAAAAGCUGAACAGAAGAUCAUUUUGGCCGUACAACGACUAAUUGAUGUGGUGAUUACACAGACUACGAUGACAAUACUAGUGGCUCAUCACCUGAGAAGAAUCCACCACAUGAACACCAUGGUUACCAGUGUCCAGAAUGUAACAAAAUCCUUAAAACCAUCUCUGGUUUUAGGGGUCAUUUUACAAAACAACACAACAAACCCAGGAUAAAAGCCAGUGACCACAGAGCUAAAGAGCGGACAUCACCAGUGAGUGAGAAAAUAAAAUUUGGGCCAACUUCAACUCCUGACUAUGAUGGGGUAAUCCGUAAUGCCAGCACCAGAACUCUUCAGAAGAUUAAAGAAGAUCCUAUGUACCAGUUGUUCGGUGAUACUGUGACUGUACGUCUUGCCAUGUUCUGUGCCACCAAAGAAUUCUUGGAUUCCUUUUUCGUGAGCCAUCUAACGGACAUAUUCAGUCUGAACUGGUGUCACAACCUUUCAAUGGAGGUUUUCUAUACCAAACUUCAUGCCCUUAGAUUAUCAACCACCUUACAGUGCGACUGUGUAAAAAGAAUUCAUCGAAAGAGGCUGCACCGAGAAGAGUGAGGAUAUUGUGAACUUUCUUCAGGCGUACAUUCUAAACCUGCCCUGUGAGAUUGUGAACAUUUUGCUUGAACAAAACAAAACAGUGUCUGAGCAACAGUCAAAGGAACUUUCCAAAAAUGACCAGCAAAUUCUGUUUUACAUUUGUGGUUUCAUUGUGAGAAGUCUAAAGAAGAAAAGCUUCAGGAAGAAGAAGGAAGACCGUGGCGAGCGACUGCAGAUGCUGGAGAAGUUAACGUGUGAAAAAAACAAUUCCAGUUUCAUUGCCGAGUUUGACAAGUGGCUGACUAAAAGUAGUCGUGGUGGCUUAUUGAGACCUAC
This is a long non-coding RNA of Saccostrea cuccullata (small rock oyster), 924 nucleotides long. RefSeq lists it as uncharacterized. The record is from RefSeq and is a predicted model, not a curated record. The transcript has 3 exons. Lineage: Eukaryota; Metazoa; Mollusca; Bivalvia; Ostreida; Ostreidae.